Molecule: ribosomal RNA, 253 nt
Filed under: uncultured bacterium
Lineage: Bacteria
Description: partial 16S ribosomal RNA
Rfam family: Bacterial small subunit ribosomal RNA
Source: RNAcentral
UACGGAGGGGGCUAGCGUUGUCCGGAAUCAUUGGGCGUAAAGCGCGCGUAGGCGGCCCGGUAAGUCCGCUGUGAAAGUCAAAGGCUCAACCUUUGAAUGUCAGCGGAUACUGCCGGGCUAGAGUCCGGAAGAGGCGAGUGGAAUUCCUGGUGUAGCGGUGGAAUGCGCAGAUAUCAGGAGGAACACCAGCGGCGAAGGCAGCUCGCUGGGACGGUACUGACGCUGAGGCGCGAAAGCGUGGGGAGCGAACAGG